Carassius carassius (crucian carp) is the source of this 318-nucleotide long non-coding RNA. RefSeq lists it as uncharacterized. Lineage: Eukaryota; Metazoa; Chordata; Actinopteri; Cypriniformes; Cyprinidae. The transcript is spliced from 3 exons. The record is from RefSeq and is a predicted model, not a curated record.
CAGGAGAAAGCCAGUAUAUAAAGCAAUCAUUGCCAGACUGUAACAGGUGUGGGAUGAAUAUCCUGCAGAUCUGUAGUGGUGAACAUUGAGAGCCAAGCCACGGUGUGGAAGUGAUCAGAGACAUGGACAUGAUCUACAGCUAUCUUUCCUCUCUGGUGGAUAAGAUCAGCUCGGUCUUCUGGAGGACAAGCAGCAGUUCAUCACCUGCAAACAGUUGGACCGUGAAUGGGAAUCAGACACAGCCAUCAGAGAACAAAAAUGAUGUCCCAGUCACAAAACCUCCCAUUUUGGUGUCUGAGCUCCAGGAGCGGAGCAGAU